This 72-nucleotide transfer RNA is filed under the name Otolemur garnettii (small-eared galago). It matches the Rfam family "tRNA". Rfam says of the family: Transfer RNA (tRNA) molecules are approximately 80 nucleotides in length. Their secondary structure includes four short double-helical elements and three loops (D, anti-codon, and T loops). Further hydrogen bonds mediate the characteristic L-shaped molecular structure. tRNAs have two regions of fundamental functional importance: the anti-codon, which is responsible for specific mRNA codon recognition, and the 3' end, to which the tRNAs corresponding amino acid is attached (by aminoacyl-tRNA synthetases). tRNAs cope with the degeneracy of the genetic code in two manners: having more than one tRNA (with a specific anti-codon) for a particular amino acid; and 'wobble' base-pairing, i.e. permitting non-standard base-pairing at the 3rd anti-codon position. Lineage: Eukaryota; Metazoa; Chordata; Mammalia; Primates; Galagidae. The record is from Rfam by way of RNAcentral.
GCACUUGUAGCCCAGUGGUUAGGGCACUGGCCACAUACACCAGGGCUGGUGGUUCAAACCCAGCCUGGACCA